This 29-nucleotide non-coding RNA is filed under the name Homo sapiens (human). Lineage: Eukaryota; Metazoa; Chordata; Mammalia; Primates; Hominidae. The record is from RNAcentral.
UACCAAGGUGCAAAGCUACUUGCAGCAGC